This 553-nucleotide ribosomal RNA is filed under the name uncultured beta proteobacterium. RNAcentral describes it as "bacterial SSU rRNA". It matches the Rfam family "Bacterial small subunit ribosomal RNA", at positions 801 to 1361 of the family's 1533-position model. Lineage: Bacteria; Pseudomonadati; Pseudomonadota; Betaproteobacteria. The record is from RNAcentral.
CUAAACGAUGUCAACUAGUUGUUGGGGAUUCAUUUCCUUAGUAACGUAGCUAACGCGUGAAGUUGACCGCCUGGGGAGUACGGUCGCAAGAUUAAAACUCAAAGGAAUUGACGGGGACCCGCACAAGCGGUGGAUGAUGUGGACUAAUUCGAUGCAACGCGAAAAACCUUACCUACCCUUGACAUGGUCGGAAUCCUGCUGAGAGGCGGGAGUGCUCGAAAGAGAACCGGCGCACAGGUGCUGCAUGGCUGUCGUCAGCUCGUGUCGUGAGAUGUUGGGUUAAGUCCCGCAACGAGCGCAACCCUUGUCCUUAGUUGCUACGCAAGAGCACUCUAAGGAGACUGCCGGUGACAAACCGGAGGAAGGUGGGGAUGACGUCAAGUCCUCAUGGCCCUUAUGGGUAGGGCUUCACACGUCAUACAAUGGUCGGAACAGAGGGUUGCCAAGCCGCGAGGCGGAGCCAAUCCCAGAAAACCGAUCGUAGUCCGGAUCGCAGUCUGCAACUCGACUGCGUGAAGCUGGAAUCGCUAGAAUCGCGGAUCAGCAUGCCGCG